GGCAGUUUUCGGGUGACACACCUCGGAAUCGGGUUCCCUCCUCUCUGGUUCCGGGUGCGCCACCGGAGAACCACA
Non-coding RNA from Myotis brandtii (Brandt's bat), 75 nucleotides. The record is from Rfam. NCBI's taxonomy places the organism in Eukaryota, Metazoa, Chordata, Mammalia, Chiroptera, Vespertilionidae.